This 265-nucleotide ribosomal RNA is filed under the name uncultured prokaryote. Its description in RNAcentral is "partial 16S ribosomal RNA". It matches the Rfam family "Bacterial small subunit ribosomal RNA", at positions 524 to 788 of the family's 1533-position model. The record is from RNAcentral.
UACGGAGGAUCCGAGCGUUAUCCGGAUUUAUUGGGUUUAAAGGGUGCGCAGGCGGAAGAUUAAGUCGGUGGUGAAAUUUUGCAGCUCAACUGUAAAAGUGCCAUUGAUACUGGUUUCUUGAGUGUGGAUGAAGUAGGCGGAAUUUGUGGUGUAGCGGUGAAAUGCAUAGAUAUCACGAGGAACUCCGAUUGCGCAGGCAGCUUACUAAACUACUACUGACGCUCAGGCACGAAGGCGUGGGGAUCAAACAGGAUUAGAUACCCCU